GACGAACGCUGGCGGCGUGCCUAACACAUGCAAGUCGAACGGUAAGGCCCUGCCUUUCUUGUCUGGUUGAGUUGCGAACGGGUGAGUAACACGUGGGUAACCUGCCCUUUACUUGGGGAUAACUUUUGGAAACGAUGGCUAAUACCGCAUAAGAGUAGCUGUUGCAUGACGUGGGCUGGAAAGUUUCGGUGGCUGGGCUUGGACGCGCGGCUGCUCAGCUUGUUGGUGUGGUUGUGGCAUCGCAAGGCCAUGACGGGGAGCCGUCCUGGGAGGGAGACGGGCCACAGAGGGACUGAGAUGCGGCCCAGACUGCUACGGGAGGAAGAAGUGGGAAAUAUAGCGCGAUGGGCGGAAGCCUGAUGGAGCAACGCCGCGUGCGGGAGGACGGCCGUCGGGGUGUAAACCGCGUUCGCCUGUGACGAAGCGUGAGUGACGGUAAUGGGUAAAGAAGCACCGGCUAACUACGUG
Molecule: ribosomal RNA, 468 nt
Filed under: uncultured bacterium
Lineage: Bacteria
Description: partial 16S ribosomal RNA
Rfam family: Bacterial small subunit ribosomal RNA
Source: RNAcentral